This 404-nucleotide ribosomal RNA is filed under the name uncultured bacterium. RNAcentral's name for it is "bacterial SSU rRNA". It matches the Rfam family "Bacterial small subunit ribosomal RNA", at positions 32 to 414 of the family's 1533-position model. The record is from RNAcentral.
AAUCAACGCUGGCGGCGUGCCUCAGACAUGCAAGUCGAACGCGAAAGUUCCCUUCGGGAGCAAGUAGAGUGGCGCACGGGUGAGUAACACGUAGGUAAUUUGCCUUCGGGUGGGGAAUAACAGUCGGAAACGACUGCUAAUACCGCAUAAUGCAGCGGCUCGACAUCGAGACAGUUGUUAAAGCGGGGGAUCCUUCGGGACCUCGCGCCUGAAGAGAAGCCUGCGGCAGAUUAGCUAGUUGGUGAGGUAAUGGCCCACCAAGGCUACGAUCUGUAACCGGCCUGAGAGGGCGGUCGGUCACACUGACACUGACAUACGGGUCAGACUCCUACGGGAGGCAGCAGUCGGGAACUUUGGGCAAUGGGCGCAAGCCUGACCCAGCAACGCCGCGUGAAGGAUGUAAA